RNAcentral lists this ribosomal RNA (503 nucleotides) under uncultured bacterium. RNAcentral's name for it is "partial 16S ribosomal RNA". It matches the Rfam family "Bacterial small subunit ribosomal RNA", at positions 899 to 1397 of the family's 1533-position model. The record is from RNAcentral.
ACUCAAAGGAAUUGACGGGGGCCCGCACAAGCGGUGGAGUAUGUGGCUUAAUUCGAUGCAACGCGAAGAACCUUACCUAGGCUUGACAUGCCUCUCUAAGUCGGUGAAAGCCGGCGAGUCCCGCAAGGGACAAUUGGCACAGGUGCUGCAUGGCUGUCGUCAGCUCGUGUCGUGAGAUGUUGGGUUAAGUCCCGCAACGAGCGCAACCCUUGUGAUCUGUUGCUAACCGGCUUGUCCGGAGCACUCUGAUCAGACUGCCCUGUGAAACGGGGAGGAAGGUGAGGAUGACGUCAAGUCAGCAUGGCCCUUACGCCUAGGGCUGCACACGUACUACAAUGCCCAGUACAGAAAGAACCGAGACCGCGAGGUGGAGGAAAUCACGAAAACUGGGCUCAAUUCGGAUCGCAGGCUGCAACUCGCCUGCGUGAAGCCGGAAUCGCUAGUAAUGGCGCAUCAGCUACGGCGCCGUGAAUACGUUCCCGGGCCUUGUACACACCGCCCGU